RNAcentral lists this ribosomal RNA (497 nucleotides) under uncultured bacterium. RNAcentral describes it as "partial 16S ribosomal RNA". It matches the Rfam family "Bacterial small subunit ribosomal RNA", at positions 28 to 507 of the family's 1533-position model. The record is from RNAcentral.
GAUGAACGCUGGCGGCGUGCCUAAUACAUGCAAGUCGAGCGAACAGACGAGGAGCUUGCUCCUCUGACGUUAGCGGCGGACGGGUGAGUAACACGUGGAUAACCUACCUAUAAGACUGGGAUAACUUCGGGAAACCGGAGCUAAUACCGGAUAAUAUAUUGAACCGCAUGGUUCAAUAGCGAAAGACGGUUUUGCUGUCACUUAUAGAUGGUUCCGCGCCGCAUUAGCUAGUUGGUAAGGUAACGGCUUACCAAGGCAACGAUGCGUAGCCGACCUGAGAGGGUGGUCGGCCACACUGGAACUGAGACACGGUCCAGACUCCUACGGGAGGCAGCAGUAGGGAAUCUUCCGCAAUGGGCGAAAGCCUGACGGAGCAACGCCGCGUGAGUGAUGAAGGUCUUCGGAUCGUAAAACUCUGUUAUUAGGGAAGAACAAAUGUGUAAGUAACUAUGCACGUCUUGACGGUACCUAAUCAGAAAGCCACGGCUAACUACGUG